AUUGAACGCUGGCGGCAGGCCUAACACAUGCAAGUCGAGCGGAUGAAGGGAGCUUGCUCCUGGAUUCAGCGGCGGACGGGUGAGUAAUGCCUAGGAAUCUGCCUGGUAGUGGGGGAUAACGUCCGGAAACGGGCGCUAAUACCGCAUACGUCCUGAGGGAGAAAGUGGGGGAUCUUCGGACCUCACGCUAUCAGAUGAGCCUAGGUCGGAUUAGCUAGUUGGUGGGGUAAAGGCCUACCAAGGCGACUAUCCGUAACUGGUCUGAGAGGAUGACCAGUCACACUGGAACUGAGACACGGUCCAGACUCCUACGGGAGGCAGCAGUGGGGAAUAUUGGACAAUGGGCGAAAGCCUGAUCCAGCCAUGCCGCGUGUGUGAAGAAGGUCUUCGGAUUGUAAAGCACUUUAAGUUGGGAGGAAGGGCAGUAAGUUAAUACCUUGCUGUUUUGACGUUACCAACAGAAUAAGCACCGGCUAACUUCGUG
This 484-nucleotide ribosomal RNA is filed under the name uncultured bacterium. RNAcentral describes it as "partial 16S ribosomal RNA". It matches the Rfam family "Bacterial small subunit ribosomal RNA", at positions 30 to 507 of the family's 1533-position model. The record is from RNAcentral.